Long non-coding RNA from Sebastes umbrosus (honeycomb rockfish), 2036 nucleotides. RefSeq lists it as uncharacterized. Lineage: Eukaryota; Metazoa; Chordata; Actinopteri; Perciformes; Sebastidae. The transcript has 2 exons. The record is from RefSeq and is a predicted model, not a curated record.
AUAGGAGCUUCUAAUUCUGGUCACACUCACCGCAGCGUCACAGCUGCAGACCUUGUGCCUGCUUCGGUGUGAGACUGCGGCUCUUUGCUGUAGAUGCAGGGUACAUUUUUAUGUUAUAGUGCAAAAGCGGAGGAAGGGACCUGUUUCCAUGACACCAUAAACAGGAAAUGGGAAGGGCCCAGUGCUGCCAGAGGAGUCUAAAUCAGCGUGGAAGUUGCCAGAGAGGGAGUAAAAAAAAAAGUGUGUCCCUCUCACUCCCCCUCAGUAGAAGAGAGCAGGAGUGAAGCGGCGGCGGUCCUUUUAGUGGCCUCCUCCAUGCAGGUUCCAUCCCCUACGGUCACCAUGCCAACCUGUGUGAAGAGGAGGCUUAUAGCUGUGGAGCCCAAAGAGACUUGAUGAGGUCCUGGGAUAAUUAGCAGCUCAUUAUGGAGCCCAGUGAAUGGGCCAAACGAAGCUCCAGGAGCCACAAGAGAGAGCGCAGUGGAAAACACACAGGAUCGGAGCACACAUCAAAGGGAAGCACUCACUUUUCAGAUCACAUAAUACAGAGGAAAGAGAGAAAUAAUGCUCCAUUCACACCUACAAAUAUAGCUCAUAAUCCCCAUUUUUAAGCCUCUGUGUGUGUGUGUGUGUGGGUGUGUGCAUGUGUGUUUCUCUGCGUCACACCAAUCUGUGUAUUUCUUUUCCCCAGAGGCCCUUAGCUGCUCCACAAAUACACGAAACACACACACAGAAAUGUGCACACAACUCACAACUCUCAAACUUAAGCUCUCAUAAAGUACGGGAACACUGUGUGAGUGCCAGAGAUUCCCCAGUUAAGCUAUCUGUCUAUCAUCCCCAUUCCUGUUCCUGUACAUCUCACCGUGUGUCUGUGCCUCCACUUGGCAUGCAGGCAGGCACUAGUCACGCAGAAUAAAGCGUGCACACCGCUGUGCCAGGUGACCCACAUUGCAGUGCGGCUGAGUUUAACCGUGCAUGGCCUCCAUUUUGUCUGUGUGUUUGUGUCACAGUGACAUGCAGUAGCAAUGCUGAGUGUGUGUGACAUGUCAUGUGUUAUUUUAAAGGUGAUAUUUCACAUGGUGUGUCAUCAUGUAUUAUUGUGGCUGUGUGAUAGAGGGAUCAUUAACAUGGGCCUUUCUCACAGCAGACAUUUUAACUUGUCAUAGUAGGAAAAGCACAGACGUUACUAAUAACACCAACGAUGACUCUGCUCUAUUGAAAGGGUUCCAGUUGAGUGUGACAGUGAGACAGGAUGCACAAUACCAGGACCCUGAAAUCCAAGCAGCUAAAUGAAAUUCAGCCAUCAUUAACUUCAUCAUUUACACGGGUGUGACAAGUCAAAAUGUCUUCUGUGAAAAAGGCUGAUUGAAUUGAAUCCAUCUCUCUCUACUCAUUAGCAUCCAGGGUACCAAAAACCAAAUGAUGAGAACCACACAAGUCACAGUCUACAGAAAGCAUUUCCACUCCACUAGGUGUCCCGUGGUCUAGGGGUAUGAUUCUCGCUUUGGGGUGCGAAAGGUCGCCGGUUUAAAUCCCGGACGAGCCCCCAUUUGUCACAAACUGGCUCAUGAAAAGUGACAAAAAGGGAGUCCACGCAAGGUUAUAUGUAAAACCAACCAUCACUAUCAAACUACGGUUAACUCAAAUGUACAAUGGAGUGUGUAGAUCAGUAAUGUCAGCAAAUGAAUAUGGUGCAUGGAUGUGUGACAUUAUGUGCUGUGGAGGUGUUGAAGGUGCAGAACCAAAAGAUAGUGAUGCCCGGUGGAUGUGGCUGUAGGAAGAGAGAGAGAGAUUUAACACCUGGAGCAGCUUUCGUAGCCUGGAAGGCCCAGGUGAGGUCAGUCAAGCUGACGAACCUCCCUCGUCAGCCAGCUUCCUGCUGAGGUUGGCCAGGGCAGCCUCCAAGAUGUCACACACACACACACACACAGCAGGGCAUACAAUAUGACCUAGAUUUAAUAUUAAGGAAAAUAUACAGAAAUACGCUGCAAUGGAGCCGUGCACUUUAAGAAAAAUAGUAAAAAUGUGUAGAAAAA